UGCGUAGGCGGUUUGUUAAGUCAGAUGUGAAAGCCCCGGGCUCAACCUGGGAACUGCAUUUGAUACUGGCAGGCUAGAGUGCGGUAGAGGGUGGUGGAAUUCCCGGUGUAGCGGUGAAAUGCGUAGAGAUCGGGAGGAACAUCCGUGGCGAAGGCGGCCACCUGGACCAGUACUGACGCUGAGGCACGAAAGCGUGGGGAGCAAACA
This 207-nucleotide ribosomal RNA is filed under the name uncultured bacterium. RNAcentral's name for it is "partial 16S ribosomal RNA". It matches the Rfam family "Bacterial small subunit ribosomal RNA", at positions 568 to 774 of the family's 1533-position model. The record is from RNAcentral.